Molecule: long non-coding RNA, 301 nt
Organism: Ostrea edulis (European flat oyster)
Lineage: Eukaryota; Metazoa; Mollusca; Bivalvia; Ostreida; Ostreidae
Exons: 3
Source: RefSeq, a predicted model, not a curated record
CGUGGUUUGUUUUUUCCGCGUUCAAACCAUGGUAAGAUUGUGUGUAUUUGUCGUGACGUUAACGCUGCUGGUUUGUUGGUGCGGCCCCGCACAAGGACAGUUGGACAUUUUACGAUGUCCGAUGGGCGACACGCCGUAUCCGGUAAGGUUUUGUCGUCACUAUACCGAUUGCUACAGAAGUGAGUUCUGCCAUUACUUCAUCCCAUGGUGGAGAUAUGGAAUAUGUUGUCCAAGGGCCAUACCAUGACGUUGAAACAGACGAAUAUUAAGACGUUCAAAAUAAACAACCAAAAGAAAUAUA